This 232-nucleotide long non-coding RNA is filed under the name Lathyrus oleraceus (garden pea). RNAcentral describes it as "Pisum sativum (pea) long non-coding RNA (PSAT_LNC012722)". Lineage: Eukaryota; Viridiplantae; Streptophyta; Magnoliopsida; Fabales; Fabaceae. The record is from RNAcentral.
UAUAUAUAUAUAUAUAUUUUUCUUUUUCUACCAACUUUUGAAUGAAAUAUCACAACUAUAGUUACUCAACCCCACAUAACUCCAAACAAGACUCUUUCAAUCCUAUGAAUGGGUGAUAAUAUUAUUUUUCACUUUCAAACUUGUAAUGAGUUUAAACAAUUAAUGAGAUAAUAGGCUCAAGGGGAUUUUCAAAUAAGGGAUGAUAUUAUCCAGGGUUGACUUUUUGGCUAAU